RNAcentral lists this ribosomal RNA (366 nucleotides) under uncultured bacterium. Its description in RNAcentral is "bacterial SSU rRNA". It matches the Rfam family "Bacterial small subunit ribosomal RNA", at positions 29 to 398 of the family's 1533-position model. The record is from RNAcentral.
AAUGAACGCUGGUGGCAGACCUAACACAUGCAAGUCGAACGAUUUAUAAAAACUUCGGUUUUUUAUAAAGAGUGGCAAACGGGUGAGUAAUGCAUGGGAAUCUACCUAGAAGUUUGGGAUAACUAUUAGAAAUAGUAGCUAAUACCGAAUACACCCCGAGGGGGAAAGUUGACUUUUAGUCUUCGCUUUUAGAUGAGCCCAUGUUAAAUUGUUAGUUGGUGGGAUUAACAGCCUACCAAGACGAUGAUUUAUAGCUGGUCUUAGAGGAUGAUCAGCCACACUGGAAUUGAGAUACGGUUCAGACUCCUACGGGAGGCAGCAGUGGGGAAUAUUGGACAAUGGGCGCAAGCCUGAUCCAGUCAUGCC